AUAGUGAACUAGUACCGUGAGAGAGAGGUGAAAAGCACCCGGGAAGGGGAGUGAAAUAGAACCUGAAACCGUGUGCUUACAAGUAGUCCGAGCUCGUUAAUGGGUGAUGGCGUGCCUUUUGUAGAAUGAUCCGGCGAGUUACGAUUUGAUGCAAGGUUAAGCAGUAAAUUUGGAGCCGUAGCGAAAGCGAGUCUGAAUAGGGCGUUUAGUAUUUGGUCGUAGGCCCGAAACCAGGUGAGCUACCCUUGGUCAGGUUGAAGUUCAGGUAACGCUGAAUGGAGGACCGAACCGGCUUACGUUGAAAAGUGAGCGGAUGAUCUGAGAGUAGCGGAGAAAUUCCAAUCGAACCUGGAGAUAGCUGGUUCUCUCCGAGAUAGCUUUAGGGCUAGCCUCAAGUGAGGAUUAUUGGAGGUAGAGC
Molecule: ribosomal RNA, 418 nt
Filed under: Staphylococcus aureus
Lineage: Bacteria; Bacillati; Bacillota; Bacilli; Caryophanales; Staphylococcaceae
Description: partial 23S ribosomal RNA
Rfam family: Bacterial large subunit ribosomal RNA
Source: RNAcentral